This 72-nucleotide transfer RNA is filed under the name Leucobacter luti. It matches the Rfam family "tRNA". Rfam says of the family: Transfer RNA (tRNA) molecules are approximately 80 nucleotides in length. Their secondary structure includes four short double-helical elements and three loops (D, anti-codon, and T loops). Lineage: Bacteria; Bacillati; Actinomycetota; Actinomycetes; Micrococcales; Microbacteriaceae. The record is from Rfam by way of RNAcentral.
UCCCAUGUAGCCAAGCGGCAAGGCGUCGCACUGUUAAUGCGAAGACCGCAGGUUCGAAUCCUGCCGUGGGAG